GGGUUGUGAGGUUAAGCGACUAAGCGUACACGGUGGAUGCCCUGGCAGUCAGAGGCGAUGAAGGACGUGCUAAUCUGCGAUAAGCGUCGGUAAGGUGAUAUGAACCGUUAUAACCGGCGAUUUCCGAAUGGGGAAACCCAGUGUGAUUCGUCACACUAUCAUUAACUGAAUCCAUAGGUUAAUGAGGCGAACCGGGGGAACUGAAACAUCUAAGUACCCCGAGGAAAAGAAAUCAACCGAGAUUCCCCCAGUAGCGGCGAGCGAACGGGGAGCAGCCCAGAGCCUGAAUCAGUGUGUGUGUUAGUGGAAGCGUCUGGAAAGGCGCGCGAUACAGGGUGACAGCCCCGUACACAAAAAUACACAUAUUGUGAGCUCGAUGAGUAGGGCGGGACACGUGGUAUCCUGUCUGAAUAUGGGGGGACCAUCCUCCAAGGCUAAAUACUCCUGACUGACCGAUAGUGAACCAGUACCGUGAGGGAAAGGCGAAAAGAACCCCGGCGAGGGGAGUGAAAAAGAACCUGAAACCGUGUACGUACAAGCAGUGGGAGCACGCUUAGGCGUGUGACUGCGUACCUUUUGUAUAAUGGGUCAGCGACUUAUAUUCUGUAGCAAGGUUAACCGAAUAGGGGAGCCGAAGGGAAACCGAGUCUUAACUGGGCGUUAAGUUGCAGGGUAUAGACCCGAAACCCGGUGAUCUAGCCAUGGGCAGGUUGAAGGUUGGGUAACACUA
This 730-nucleotide ribosomal RNA is filed under the name Shigella sonnei. Its description in RNAcentral is "partial 23S ribosomal RNA". It matches the Rfam family "Bacterial large subunit ribosomal RNA", at positions 1 to 764 of the family's 2925-position model. Lineage: Bacteria; Pseudomonadati; Pseudomonadota; Gammaproteobacteria; Enterobacterales; Enterobacteriaceae. The record is from RNAcentral.